Long non-coding RNA from Anolis carolinensis (green anole), 591 nucleotides. RefSeq lists it as uncharacterized. The transcript has 2 exons. The record is from RefSeq and is a predicted model, not a curated record. NCBI's taxonomy places the organism in Eukaryota, Metazoa, Chordata, Lepidosauria, Squamata, Anolidae.
AGGCCUCCAAUGGAGGAGAGGGUUGGGCCGGAGCAAUUUUCUGCCCGGUCCCCCGAAAACGCUCUUUUCUUUGGUUUGACGGACUGUCAGGCUGCCUGGGCCUCCCUGGGGAGACGAGACGCAAAACUUCCCGCGUGUGGUUAUCGCUCGGAGAUGGACGGAGCGCGAGAGAGAAAGAACGAAGAAGAAAGGCAGAAAGGUGGGGCCCGGAAAGCAGGCGGCAAUUAGCGGAGAGCCUGGCAUGGUGUUGGGCUUUUGUGCAGCCGCACGGCAUCCCCGGCUCCCGCUCAGCCUAGCAGACCCCCCCCCCGCCCCCCGCCAAUCAUUGGGGUCCCCGUUCCUACUCGAUGCCGAGGUCGACUUCGGGGAUGCCGCUGAGCAUCUGGUUGGAGAGCAUCUCCUCGGUCUUCUUGGCAGAAGAUACACGGAUGCUCUCGGGCAGCUCGUAGAGACAGUCCUCCGCGUUCUUGGCCUUCACCUUCCGCUCCUCGCUCUCCACGAUGCCCUUGCGCUUCUUCAGCUCCGUCUCAAUGUACUUCAUCCUGGGAACACCAGAAAGAUCAUCUAUCUAUCUAUCUAUCUAUCUAUCUA